This 435-nucleotide ribosomal RNA is filed under the name Shigella sp. ECOLX. RNAcentral describes it as "bacterial SSU rRNA". It matches the Rfam family "Bacterial small subunit ribosomal RNA", at positions 95 to 526 of the family's 1533-position model. The record is from RNAcentral. Lineage: Bacteria; Pseudomonadati; Pseudomonadota; Gammaproteobacteria; Enterobacterales; Enterobacteriaceae.
GUGGCGGACGGGUGAGUAAUGUCUGGGAAACUGCCUGAUGGAGGGGGAUAACUACUGGAAACGGUAGCUAAUACCGCAUAACGUCGCAAGACCAAAGAGGGGGACCUUCGGGCCUCUUGCCAUCGGAUGUGCCCAGAUGGGAUUAGCUUGUUGGUGGGGUAACGGCUCACCAAGGCGACGAUCCCUAGCUGGUCUGAGAGGAUGACCAGCCACACUGGAACUGAGACACGGUCCAGACUCCUACGGGAGGCAGCAGUGGGGAAUAUUGCACAAUGGGCGCAAGCCUGAUGCAGCCAUGCCGCGUGUAUGAAGAAGGCCUUCGGGUUGUAAAGUACUUUCAGCGGGGAGGAAGGGAGUAAAGUUAAUACCUUUGCUCAUUGACGUUACCCGCAGAAGAAGCACCGGCUAACUCCGUGCCAGCAGCCGCGGUAAUAC